CAACUCUUUCUUUGCGAGUUAAGUUAAUUAAUAGAUUAAUCUCAAAAAAUUUACCGCUAUAGAAAAGUGGCGACUCUGCUGGGGAGUAGUCCCUAGUGGGUUAAGCCCAUCUUGUUUUUUUUUGUAUAUAUUGUAGUUGAUAUUAUUUGUUAUUGUUUGUUCUGUCUGGUGCUUGGUGAUCUCUGUGUGGUGAGAUAAGUCCUAUACCCGGACUUG
Molecule: long non-coding RNA, 216 nt
Filed under: Lathyrus oleraceus (garden pea)
Lineage: Eukaryota; Viridiplantae; Streptophyta; Magnoliopsida; Fabales; Fabaceae
Description: Pisum sativum (pea) long non-coding RNA (PSAT_LNC016532)
Source: RNAcentral